GUGGCGAACGGGUGAGUAACACGUGAGUAACCUGCCCUUGACUCUGGGAUAAGCGUUGGAAACGACGUCUAAUACCGGAUACGAGCUGAGACCGCAUGGUCAUCAGUUGGAAAGAAUUUUGGUCAAGGAUGGACUCGCGGCCUAUCAGCUUGUUGGUGAGGUAAUGGCUCACCAAGGCGACGACGGGUAGCCGGCCUGAGAGGGUGACCGGCCACACUGGGACUGAGACACGGCCCAGACUCCUACGGGAGGCAGCAGUGGGGAAUAUUGCACAAUGGGCGCAAGCCUGAUGCAGCAACGCCGCGUGAGGGAUGACGGCCUUCGGGUUGUAAACCUCUUUUAGUAGGGAAGAAGCGAAAGUGACGGUACCUGCAGAAAAAGCACCGGCUAACUACGUGCCAGCAGCCGCGGUAAUACGUAGGGUGCAAGCGUUGUCCGGAAUUAUUGGGCGUAAAGAGCUCGUAGGCGGUUUGUCGCGUCUGCUGUGAAAAC
RNAcentral lists this ribosomal RNA (492 nucleotides) under Microbacteriaceae bacterium 1 b135. RNAcentral describes it as "bacterial SSU rRNA". It matches the Rfam family "Bacterial small subunit ribosomal RNA", at positions 95 to 601 of the family's 1533-position model. The record is from RNAcentral. Lineage: Bacteria; Bacillati; Actinomycetota; Actinomycetes; Micrococcales; Microbacteriaceae.